GCGAGUGAAGCGGCAACAGCUCAAUUUGAAAUCUGGCCUUUACGGUCCGAGUUGUAAUUUGGAGAGGAUGUUUUGGGUACCGCCACGGUUUAAAUUUCUUGGAACAGAAUGUCAAAGAGGGUGAGAGUCCCGUCUUGGACCGCGGUAGGGCCUGUGUAAAACUCCUUCGAAGAGUCGACUUGUUUGGGAAUGCAGGUCAAAAUGGGUGGUAAAUUUCAUCUAAAGCUAAAUAUUGGCCAGAGACCGAUAGCGCACAAGUAGAGUGAUCGAAAGAUGAAAAGCACUUUGAAAAGAGAGUUAAACAGUAUGUGAAAUUGUUGAAAGGGAAGCGCUGGCAACCAGACUCGUGCGCGGGGUUCCCCCUUGCUUCUGCUUGGGUCACUUCCCCGUGUCCGGGCCAUCAUCAGUUUCGGGGGCCGGUUAAAGGCCCUGGGAAUGUACCCACGCCUUCGGGGGUGGACUUAUAGCCCAGGGUGUCAUGCGGCCACCCGGGACUGAGGAACGCGCUUCGGCGAGGAUGAUGGCGUAAUGGUUGUCAGCGGCCCGUCUU
RNAcentral lists this ribosomal RNA (550 nucleotides) under Knufia petricola. RNAcentral's name for it is "partial large subunit ribosomal RNA". It matches the Rfam family "Eukaryotic large subunit ribosomal RNA", at positions 89 to 655 of the family's 3401-position model. Lineage: Eukaryota; Fungi; Ascomycota; Eurotiomycetes; Chaetothyriales; Trichomeriaceae. The record is from RNAcentral.